RNAcentral lists this unclassified non-coding RNA (173 nucleotides) under uncultured Penicillium. RNAcentral describes it as "sequence contains ITS1". Lineage: Eukaryota; Fungi; Ascomycota; Eurotiomycetes; Eurotiales; Aspergillaceae. The record is from RNAcentral.
CUGAGUGAGGGCCCUCUGGGUCCAACCUCCCACCCGUGUUUUAUUGUACCUUGUUGCUUCGGCAGGCCCGCCUCACGGCCGCCGGGGGCCUCUGCCCCCGGGCCCGCGCCUGCCGAAGACACCCUUGAACGCUGUCUGAAGUUUGCAGUCUGAGCGAAUAGCAAAAUUUGUUA